GGGGAUUUAGCUCAGUGGUAGAGUACCUGCCUAGCAAGCACAAGGCCCUGGGUUCGGUCCUCAGCUCCG
This 69-nucleotide transfer RNA is filed under the name Rattus norvegicus (Norway rat). It matches the Rfam family "tRNA". From Rfam's summary of the family: Transfer RNA (tRNA) molecules are approximately 80 nucleotides in length. Their secondary structure includes four short double-helical elements and three loops (D, anti-codon, and T loops). Further hydrogen bonds mediate the characteristic L-shaped molecular structure. tRNAs have two regions of fundamental functional importance: the anti-codon, which is responsible for specific mRNA codon recognition, and the 3' end, to which the tRNAs corresponding amino acid is attached (by aminoacyl-tRNA synthetases). tRNAs cope with the degeneracy of the genetic code in two manners: having more than one tRNA (with a specific anti-codon) for a particular amino acid; and 'wobble' base-pairing, i.e. permitting non-standard base-pairing at the 3rd anti-codon position. Lineage: Eukaryota; Metazoa; Chordata; Mammalia; Rodentia; Muridae. The record is from Rfam by way of RNAcentral.